UACGUAGGGUGCAAGCGUUGUCCGGAAUUAUUGGGCGUAAAGAGCUCGUAGGCGGUUUGUCGCGUCGGCUGUGAAAACUCGGGGCUCAACCCCGAGCCUGCAGUCGGUACGGGCAAACUAGAGUGUGGUAGGGGAGACUGGAAUUCCUGGUGUAGCGGUGAAAUGCGCAGAUAUCAGGAGGAACACCGGCGGCGAAGGCGGGUCUCUGGGCCAUAACUGACGCUGAGGAGCGAAAGCGUGGGGAGCGAACAGG
RNAcentral lists this ribosomal RNA (253 nucleotides) under uncultured bacterium. RNAcentral describes it as "partial 16S ribosomal RNA". It matches the Rfam family "Bacterial small subunit ribosomal RNA", at positions 524 to 776 of the family's 1533-position model. The record is from RNAcentral.